Vicia villosa (hairy vetch) is the source of this 566-nucleotide long non-coding RNA. RefSeq lists it as uncharacterized. The transcript is spliced from 3 exons. The record is from RefSeq and is a predicted model, not a curated record. NCBI's taxonomy places the organism in Eukaryota, Viridiplantae, Streptophyta, Magnoliopsida, Fabales, Fabaceae.
AUGUGAUAGGGAAUUGAUGAUAAAGUGCUGGUAGAAAUAUUUCUUGAAGGAGGAAAGGAGUUUACAGCUAUCGUCCUUGACGUAGGAUCUAAUUCAGAUAGUUGUCCUGUUGCACUACUUCCUACGGAGGUGGAGCUGCAAUUCCUUGGUGCAAAUGACUUGAAAGAGAAUGAUACAAUAUUUAAUUACCGUAGGAAGUACCUUCCAACCCAACAGGUUGCUUAUCACACUCCACCUUGAUUUCCUUUGGAUGUAAUUGAGAAUAUUCGCAAAGGAGCAUCUGUGUUAUUUCAACGGCUUGGCCUGCAAGAUUUUGCACGAAUUGAUGGAUGGUUUUUGCCUGAUGCAGGUUGUAAGCUAUCAUCUUCUGAAAGUGACUUUGGAAGGACUGAAUCAGGUACCAUAAUAUUCACCGACAUCAACAUGGUGAGAUGAUUUUCUCUCUUGGGGGGAAUACAGAUAGUGGUUUACUACUAAUUUUGGUUGUUCAUUAUUGCUGAAUAUAUAUUCGUUGCAUAUUUCAGAUCAGUGGUAUGGAACAAACAAGUUUUCUGUUUCAGCAAGCU